GACCGUGCGAAGGUAGCGUAAUCACUUGUCUUUUAAAUGAGGACCUGUAUGAAUGGCAUAACGAGGGCUUUACUGUCUCCUUUUUCUAGUCUAUGAAAUUGAUCUCCCCGUGCAGAAGCGGGGAUAAAGACAUAAGACGAGAAGACCCUAUGGAGCUUUAGACGCUAGGACAGGCACGUGUUGAACACUCUUGGAUAAAAGACUAAGCGACGUGACACACUGUUCACAUGUCUUUGGUUGGGGCGACCCUGGGGAACAAAAAAACCCCCAUGAAGACAGGGAACACAUCCUCCUACAAGCAAUGAGCCACCGCUCUAACUCACAGAAUUUUUGACUUAUAGGAUCCGGCAUAGCCGAUCAACGGACCGAGUUACCCUAGGGAUAACAGCGCAAUCCUCUUUCAGAGCCCAUAUCGACAAGAGGGUUUACGACCUCGAUGUUGGAUCAGGACAUCCUAAUGGUGCAGCCGCUAUUAA
Molecule: ribosomal RNA, 476 nt
Filed under: Gerres decacanthus (small Chinese silver-biddy)
Lineage: Eukaryota; Metazoa; Chordata; Actinopteri; Gerreiformes; Gerreidae
Description: partial 16S ribosomal RNA
Rfam family: Bacterial large subunit ribosomal RNA
Source: RNAcentral